CAGGGUAAGACCAGGUUACAACUGUCACAGCGCCUCAUUUCCUUGUAACAUGCAUCCUGAUACUGAGCACAAAAAUCUUGAUUUUGACUUGAAAUACUAGCCUCUUGGAACCCACAUAGGUGAACUUCUGGAUGUGCACCAUGCGCAGCACCACUCCUAGUGCCCAGGAAACCACUUUCAGCUAAAACCGCCUCUUCUAGUGCCAUCUGAAA
RNAcentral lists this unclassified non-coding RNA (212 nucleotides) under Hevea brasiliensis (rubber tree). The record is from RNAcentral. Lineage: Eukaryota; Viridiplantae; Streptophyta; Magnoliopsida; Malpighiales; Euphorbiaceae.